Molecule: ribosomal RNA, 310 nt
Filed under: uncultured eukaryote
Lineage: Eukaryota
Description: partial 18S ribosomal RNA
Rfam family: Eukaryotic small subunit ribosomal RNA
Source: RNAcentral
CCCUUAGAUGUUCUGGGCGGCCCGCGCACUACAAUGGCGCUUUCAGCGAGUUCCUAUGUUGAAUUUUCCUGGGUAUUCUUGGAAGCGGCGUCUUGACUUGGGAUAGAUCCUUGUAAUUGUUGGUUUUGAACGAGGAAUUCCUUGUAAUCGCGGUUGAUCAGCUCGCGUUGAAUACGUCCCUGCCCUUUGUACACACCGCCCGUCGCUCCUACCGAUGAAUCGUCCGGUGAAGUUCACAGAGUGGCGGUUCGUGGAGUUGUUCGCGAAGUGAAAUGGACCUCACGAUUUAGAGGAAGGAGAAGUCGUAACA